GAUCAGACGCCAUGUUCUUUUUAACCUCAAUCUUUAAUUGUUGGAUGGUUUGUUUUGAUAUUGGUUGUCAGAUUUCGGAUUGCUACUAUUAUACUGUGAAAUUAAUUUGCAGUGGAAAAUUGAGGUAUAAAAUAUUUCUAUUGGUUUCUUUAUUCUUAUAAUUUUUACAAGAGAAAUUGAAAAUGGAUUUACAACAGAAAGGCGUGAAAUUUUCGAAGUUCAAAGUUUUGUACUUUCCAGACCUGCACAACGAAUUACCUAUUUGAAAAAUAGAAUAUGGUUAGAAAUUGCUGAUGUAAUAGAGGAUUCAAGUACCAUUUACAAACAAAAUAUUGAAGAGAAUGUGCUCAAAGGAAAUGCAUAUGAAUUAUUUUUUGUUGACCAGGAUGGAACAAUUCUUUGGAACCUAUAGUUAGAAUAAGUUAGUUAGGCCUAGUGAUGUACCAGCCAGAAGUAGAGGAUGACAAAGAAAAUCAACUAUGAAUAAUAUUCCAUGGAUAUGAUUCAUGUAUGAUGUAGUAGCCUACAGAAGAAAGAGAUGGACUAAUCUAAGAAAUAUAUUCAUUUUU
Molecule: long non-coding RNA, 569 nt
Organism: Nilaparvata lugens (brown planthopper)
Lineage: Eukaryota; Metazoa; Arthropoda; Insecta; Hemiptera; Delphacidae
Exons: 3
Source: RefSeq, a predicted model, not a curated record